UUCUAUCCAAUUUUUAUGUUCAAUUACUUACGUGACACAUAUAUAGACCCCACAUAUCCAAUGAGAUAACGACACAUGGAUUUAAAUGAAAUAUAAUAUAUAUUUUAAAUAUUUUAAUACUUAAAAUCUAUAAAUAAAUAAAAACAAAAAUAAGUUUUAAUAAACAAAUUAAAACUUAAAAAACAAAAACAAAAAGAAACAUGCAGCCAUCCACCCCAUCCCCUCCCCUCCAUCUCCUCCUUUUCCUCUCCCCUCUCCCCUCUCCUC
This 267-nucleotide long non-coding RNA is filed under the name Prunus persica (peach). RNAcentral's name for it is "long non-coding RNA (PPER_LNC004495)". The record is from RNAcentral. Lineage: Eukaryota; Viridiplantae; Streptophyta; Magnoliopsida; Rosales; Rosaceae.